RNAcentral lists this ribosomal RNA (497 nucleotides) under uncultured bacterium. RNAcentral's name for it is "partial 16S ribosomal RNA". It matches the Rfam family "Bacterial small subunit ribosomal RNA", at positions 28 to 507 of the family's 1533-position model. The record is from RNAcentral.
GAUGAACGCUGGCGGCGUGCCUAAUACAUGCAAGUCGAGCGAACGGACGAGAAGCUUGCUUCUCUGAUGUUAGCGGCGGACGGGUGAGUAACACGUGGAUAACCUACCUAUAAGACUGGGAUAACUUCGGGAAACCGGAGCCAAUACCGGAUGAUAUUUUGAACCGCAUGGUUCAAAAGUGAAAGACGGUCUUGCUGUCACUUAUAGAUGGAUCUGCGCUGCAUUAGCUAGUUGGUAAGGUAACGGCUUACCAAGGCAACGAUGCAUAGCCGACCUGAGAGGGUGAUCGGCCACACUGGAACUGAGACACGGUCCAGACUCCUACGGGAGGCAGCAGUAGGGAAUCUUCCGCAAUGGGCGAAAGCCUGACGGAGCAACGCCGCGUGAGUGAUGAAGGUCUUCGGAUCGUAAAACUCUGUUAUUAGGGAAGAACAUAUGUGUAAGUAACUGUGCACAUCUUGACGGUACCUAAUCAGAAAGCCACGGCUAACUACGUG